RNAcentral lists this ribosomal RNA (1189 nucleotides) under uncultured organism. Its description in RNAcentral is "bacterial SSU rRNA". It matches the Rfam family "Bacterial small subunit ribosomal RNA", at positions 164 to 1356 of the family's 1533-position model. The record is from RNAcentral.
UAAUACCGGAUGUGGCCACCCUGCGAUUGCAGGGGAAGCUAAAGGAUUUAUUCACUUCCCGAGGGGCUCGCGGCCCAUCAGCUUGUUGGUGAGGGUAACGGCCCACCAAGGCGACAACGGGUAGCUGGUCUGAGAGGAUGGUCAGCCACACUGGAACUGAGACACGGUCCAGACACCGACGGGUGGCAGCAGUCGAGAAUCAUUCGCAACGGGGGAAACCCUGACGAUGCGACGCCGCGUGGAGGAUGAAGGCCUUAGGGUUGUAAACUCCUGUCAAGAGGGAAUAAGCAAGUGAAGGUACCUCUAGAGGAAGGGGCGGCUAAUUCCGUGCCAGCAGCCGCGGUAACACGGAAGCCCCGAGCGUUGUUCGGAUUCAUUGGGCGUAAAGGGUGCGUAGGCGGCGCGGAAAGUCCGGCGUGAAAGGCAGGGGCUCAACCUCUGGACUGCGUUGGAUACUUCCGUGCUUGAGGACUGGAGGGGAGACUGGAAUUCACGGUGUAGCAGUGAAAUGCGUAGAUAUCGUGAGGAAGACCGGUGGCGAAGGCGAGUCUCUGGACAGAUCCUGACGCUGAGGCACGAAGGCUGGGGGAGCGAACAGGAUUAGAUACCCUGGUAGUCCCAGCAGUAAACGAUGUGAGCUUGAUGUGGGGGGAUUCGACCCCUUCCGUGUCGAAGCUAACGCGAUAAGCUCACCGCCUGAGGAGUACGGCCGCAAGGCUAAAACUCAAAGAAAUUGACGGGGACCCGCACAAGCGGUGGAGUAUGUGGCUUAAUUCGAUGCAACGCGAAGAACCUUACCUGGCCUUGACAUGCAUUGUGUCGUCGGUGAAAGCCGGCUAGUCCUGGAAACAGGACGCUUUGCACAGGUGCUGCAUGGCUGUCGUCAGCUCGUGUCGUGAGAUGUUGGGUUAAGUCCCGCAACGAGCGCAACCCUUGUGGUCAGUUACUAACCGGCUUAGCCGGAGGACUCUGGCCAGACUGCCCUGUCAAACGGGGAGGAAGGUGGGGACGACGUCAAGUCAGUAUGGCCCUUAUGGCCAGGGCUGCACACGUACUACAAUGCCCGGUACAAUGUGAACCGAAACCGCGAGGUGGAGGAAAUCGCUCUUGAAAACCGGGCCCAGUUCGGAUUGGAGUCUGCAACUCGACUCCAUGAAGUCGGAAUCGCUAGUAAUGGCGUAUCAGCAAC